AGUCCCUUAGUGUAGCGGUCCAUCAUGUGGGGUUCUGGAUCCCACGACCCUGGUUCGAAUCCGGGAGGGACUACCA
Molecule: transfer RNA, 76 nt
Filed under: Methanobacteriota archaeon
Lineage: Archaea; Methanobacteriati; Methanobacteriota
Also listed under: 2 other names
Description: Euryarchaeota archaeon tRNA-Gln
Rfam family: tRNA
About the family: Transfer RNA (tRNA) molecules are approximately 80 nucleotides in length. Their secondary structure includes four short double-helical elements and three loops (D, anti-codon, and T loops).
Source: RNAcentral